AUUAGUCAAUGCUCGCAAGAGUGAACUAGCUAACUGAAAUCACAUAAGUGCCUUAUGUGAUGUCGUAAGGGAGAAUUAUGAUGUUACCUUACUAAUAGUGUCGUCUAAAACUGGUGCCAGAAGACUCGGUAAGGCCAGAGACACGAAUGUUAAUCGUCUUAAACAGGCGUAAAGGGUUUGUAGGCUGCUUUGAAAGUAUUGAUUUAAUAGCCUAAGUUAUCUAAAUUAUUUUACUAUUAAAUAUUUAUAAAUUACAAAAAUAAUUAAUAACUUAAUUACGAUAAUAUCAGGUUAGCCACGAUCUAAUAUUAUCUAAAAAAUAAUUAAUAACUUAAUUACGAUAAUAUCAGGUUAGCCACUAUCUAAUAUUAAAUUAUACACUAUUUUUUAAUGGAUAGUAAUAAUUAUAUAUGAUUAUAUACUAUCUAUAUUUUAUUACACAUUAUUUUAUAGUGGAUAGUGAUGAUGUAAUCAAUCCCUAAUCGUUUUUAUUAUAAAUAACUAGAUAUACUUUUCGUAGAUCAAUAUGAAUUAAAGCUAGAAUCUAAAAGAGGAUAUUUACGAAACAAUGCUUGGUCGAGGUCUGAUAUCCUAAGACACCAAGUGGAGUUCUAACGGCGUAGGCAUUUAUCCAAUAAAGAUUGACGCUGAGAAACGAAGGUGAGGAUAGGAAAUAGGAUUAGAUACCCAGAUACCCCUCUCUGUCAACGAUGAAUGGUAGUUGUUAGUAGUAAACUAGUGACGAAGUUAACACGAUAACCAUUCCGCCUUGUGAGUACGACUGCAAAGUUGAAAACAAAAAAAUUAGUCGGUCUCGGAGCAAACGAAGUGAAGUAUGUUAUUUA
This 845-nucleotide ribosomal RNA is filed under the name Junghuhnia cf. semipileata X1221. RNAcentral describes it as "partial small subunit ribosomal RNA". It matches the Rfam family "Bacterial small subunit ribosomal RNA", at positions 363 to 948 of the family's 1533-position model. The record is from RNAcentral. Lineage: Eukaryota; Fungi; Basidiomycota; Agaricomycetes; Polyporales; Steccherinaceae.